RNAcentral lists this long non-coding RNA (281 nucleotides) under Gossypium barbadense (sea-island cotton). RNAcentral describes it as "long non-coding RNA (GBAR_LNC002973)". The record is from RNAcentral. Lineage: Eukaryota; Viridiplantae; Streptophyta; Magnoliopsida; Malvales; Malvaceae.
UUUUGUCUCUAUUUUUUACUAUUUGUUCUUUUGCCAUUAUAGUAAAAUUAUUUUUGUUCGUGAUUUUUUAUCUUUUUUGGAGGGGUUUUUUCAUGUUAAAUUUGUGUACUUAUUCAGCUAUUUUUACUUGUUCGUUACUUAAUCGGAUCGAUUCCCAACAGAAUUAAUCCUUCGAAAGAAAAAUAGUGAAAUUUUAUAUUGCUAUAAUCCAGAGACGAAUUUAGAGGGGCUGGUAGGGGUCUCAGCCCCCCUAAAUUGGAAAAUUGCUAUUUAGGCCUUUU